AACACAUGCAAGUCGAACGAAGCACUCAGGAGCGACUUCGGUCAAUCCUGUUUGACUUAGUGGCGGACGGGUGAGUAACGCGUGAGGAACCUGCCUUGCAGUGGGGAAUAACAGUUGGAAACGACUGCUAAUACCGCAUAAUGCAGAGAGAUCGCAUGGUCUUUCUGCCAAAGAUUUAGCGCUGUGAGAUGGCCUCGCGUCUGAUUAGCUAGUUGGUGAGGUAACGGCUCACCAAGGCGACGAUCAGUAGCCGGACUGAGAGGUUGAUCGGCCACAUUGGGACUGAGACACGGCCCAGACUCCUACGGGAGGCAGCAGUGGGGAAUAUUGGGCAAUGGGCGCAAGCCUGACCCAGCAACGCCGCGUGAAGGAAGAAGGCUUUCGGGUUGUAAACUUCUUUUAUUAGGGACGAUAAUGACGGUACCUAUUGAAUAAGCUCCGGCUAACUACGUGCCAGCAGCCGCGGUAA
Molecule: ribosomal RNA, 469 nt
Filed under: uncultured bacterium
Lineage: Bacteria
Description: partial 16S ribosomal RNA
Rfam family: Bacterial small subunit ribosomal RNA
Source: RNAcentral